CUUGCAGCAAUGGGUCCCUUGUGCAACAGUGCCCCCCCUUGCAGCAGUGCCCCCCCUUGCAGCAAUGCAUCCCCUUGCAGCAAUGCAUCCCCUUGCAGCAAUGUGUCCCCUGCAACGACAUGUCCCCGACACCGUCCCUCUCUUUCCCUCCAAACCAGGUCAGGGAUGCUCCCCUGCUCCAGCCCAGGCCGCAUCCCCUUGCAGCAAUGUGUCCCCUGCAACGACAUGUCCCCGACACCGUCCCUCUCUUUCCCUCCAAACCAGGUCAGGGAUGCUCCCCUGCUCCAGCCCAGGCCUUGGGAGAGGGAGCCCAAAGCCCCCCACAGCCGGCGAGAGAGAGAAGAACCUGGCGGGAGAAAUGCUGGGAGGUUCCCGGGAUGUGCCGGCAGGGUCCCAGCCUCCCCUCUGCCCUGCACCCAGCCYGAGCUCCCUGCUCCCAGCCCGGCCCCGUGCACCACCGCGUUGCCCGAUGGGGCACCCCCGCGUGCGGUGGGUGCGGGGGGGCUGCAAUGGGCAGAGCAGGAGCGGGGGUCAGACCUCCCGGGGCACUCUGCAGCCCCCCUCGGACAUCCCGUCCCGCUCCCUCCUCCCCAGGAGACACAGGGCAUUGCAGCUGGGGAAACUGAGGCACAGGGGGGCUGCAGCCUGGGUUUUUACCCGCCUCGCCUCGUCCUUCCCCGAGGUCACCGGGGUGGAGCAGGGCUGCGGGAUGCGGCAGCGAUUCCCGGGGCACAGGCAGCACCGCCGCGGCCGGUGGCAGAGGUGAGCGAGGGGACCUGGGGCGCGACGGGGCGCCCGCUCCCAGGAAGGGGUUGCAGACACACCCCCCCCCGGCACCUCUGCUUCGCCCCGCGCCUCGAGCCUGCGGGUUAACGCAUGCCGGGCGCCCGCGACACGUGCACGAAACGGCUUAACCUGGCGGGAGGCGGCGGGCCAGGCCGGUGCGCGGAGCCAGCAGCUCCUUAAAAUAGAAAGUGAAAACGCGCCGUGCCCCAGCCGGACAGGGGGUACGGUACGGUACAGCACUGCCUCCGCCGCCAGCGGCUUCCUCCGCCGGCCGCAGCGAGGCCAGCGUGCUCCUGGCACGUCCCAUCCGCGCCCCACGCCCCCCCAUCUUCCCACCGUGUGGGGACAGCAUGCCAUGUCCCCUCCAGGACCCCCAUCCUCUGCAGGACCCCCAUCCCCUGCAGGACCCCCA
RNAcentral lists this long non-coding RNA (1198 nucleotides) under Apteryx rowi (Okarito brown kiwi). RNAcentral's name for it is "lncRNA (ENSARWG00000017466.1)". Lineage: Eukaryota; Metazoa; Chordata; Aves; Apterygiformes; Apterygidae. The record is from RNAcentral.